Paramormyrops kingsleyae is the source of this 289-nucleotide long non-coding RNA. RefSeq lists it as uncharacterized. NCBI's taxonomy places the organism in Eukaryota, Metazoa, Chordata, Actinopteri, Osteoglossiformes, Mormyridae. The record is from RefSeq and is a predicted model, not a curated record.
CGUCACUUCCGUCUUCCGAAGUGAAAAGCCAUCCAGAAGACGUCUCGGGAGGUGAGAACCCUACCUGUUGAACUGCUCAGCGAAGAUGAGGUUGGUGGAGGUGCCCGUGAUGGUGAUCAGGCCUCCGAUGGUGGCGGCAUAUGUGAUGCUGAGGGAGAGGCACUUGCAGAUCAUGUGGUCGCGCUUGAAAUGGUAAACGGAGGAAGUGGACUCACCUCGCUUGACUUGAGGACCCCGAACAGCGGAUAGAGGAAUGCGGGCACCAGGGCGGCAGCACCCAAGGGCACGG